GACGAACGCUGGCGGCGUGCUUAACACAUGCAAGUCGAACGGUGAAGCGCCUUCCUUUUUGGUGGGUGUGGAUGCGUGGCGAACGGGUGAGUAACACGUGAGUAACCUGCCCCCUUCUUCUGGAUAACCGCAUGAAAGUGUGGCUAAUACGGGAUAUUCUGGGUCUGUCGCAUGAUGGGUCUGGGAAAGAUAUUGUUUCGGUGGGGGAUGGGCUCGCGGCCUAUCAGCUUGUUGGUGGGGUGAUGGCCUAACAAGGCGGUGACGGGUAGCCGGCCUGAGAGGGCGGACGGUCUGAGAGGGACUGAGAGACCGCACAGACUCAGACGGGAGGAAGAAGUAGGGAAUAGUGAACAAUGGGCGCAAGCCUGAUGCAGCGCGGCCGCGUGAGGGAGGGAGGCCGUUGGGUUGUGAACCUCGUACGACAGGGAAGCAUGCGUGACUGGUAUGUUGAUGGGUUGACGGUAGCUGGAUAAGAAGCGCCGGCUAACUACGUG
This 494-nucleotide ribosomal RNA is filed under the name uncultured bacterium. RNAcentral describes it as "partial 16S ribosomal RNA". It matches the Rfam family "Bacterial small subunit ribosomal RNA", at positions 28 to 507 of the family's 1533-position model. The record is from RNAcentral.